Acanthosepion pharaonis is the source of this 111-nucleotide non-coding RNA. The record is from the annotation of a GenBank genome assembly. Lineage: Eukaryota; Metazoa; Mollusca; Cephalopoda; Sepiida; Sepiidae.
AGGCCAUACCACGUUGAAACACCGGAUCUCGUACGAUCAGAAAAGUUAAGCAACGUUGUGCCUGGUCAGUAACUGGAUGGGUGACCACUUUGGAAUGCCGGGUGUUGUAAG